This 69-nucleotide transfer RNA is filed under the name Marmosa regina (Short-furred woolly mouse opossum). RNAcentral describes it as "Micoureus regina (Short-furred woolly mouse opossum) tRNA-Cys". The record is from RNAcentral. Lineage: Eukaryota; Metazoa; Chordata; Mammalia; Didelphimorphia; Didelphidae.
AAACCUCAGUAGAAUUUUUAAUCUACUUUUCUGAAUUUGCAAUUCAACGUAUUAAUAUACUUCAAGGUC